CCCUUGUUCAGUAAUAUGGAAUGACUGGUGGUGGUGGAGAUGCAUAGGAGACUCCUACAACUGGUGGAAGAGGUACAUUUUCGUAUGUUGGCGGUGGCGGUGAUGGCGAUGGUGGUGGGGGUGAUGAAUAGUAGUAAGUUGGUGGUGGAGGUGAUGGUGAUGGUGGUGGCGGUGAUGUGUAAUGGUAAGUGGGAGGGGGAGGUGAUGGUGGUGGUGGUGAUGAAUAGGUAUAUGGUGGUGAUGGUUUUGGUUCCCAGUGUGAAGUCGGAGGUGGAGGAGGUGGAUCAUUGCAAGGUAGGGUAGGUGGGGCAGGAGUGUAUCCACCUGGUGGUGGUGAUGGAUAUGGAGUUUUUGGAUGUUCGUAUGACGGUGGUGGUGGUGGUGGUGGUGGUGGUGAUGGAGUUCUUGGAUGUUCAUAUGUUGGUGGUGGUGGUGGUGAAUGUGGCGUAUACGUUGGUGGCUCGUGAUACACUGGGGGUGGUGGUGAAUGAGGCGUAUAUUUUGGUGGCUCGUGAUACACUGGGGGUGGUGGUAAAUGAGGCGUAUACGUAGGUGGCUCGUGAUACACUGGGGGUGAUGGAGAAUGAUAAACUGGUGGUGGUGGUGAUGGAGAUGGGCGGUAAUAUAAAGGUGAUGGUGGAGGAGGAGGUGAUUGAUGAGUUACUGGAGAAAUUUUAUGCAUAGGUGGUGGAGGACUUCUAUGUUGAUAGGUUGGGGACUUUUUGUAGGUAGGUGGUGGUGGUGGUGGUGGAGGCAGAGGAGUUGAUUGAGGUGGCGGUGGAGAAUGCUUGUUAUGCGAACCCGAAGAUUUCGAAGAAGGUGGUGGUGGAGAUUCAAUUGGUACAACAGGUCUUGUUGGACGAGAUGGCUUUGGUGCUGGUGGUUUGUUGUGAACAGGUGGUCUCUUAGGUUUUUGUGUUGGUUUUGGUCUUGGCUUUGUUGUAGGAGAUGUAGCAAAAUGGCUAAAACACUUUGAUUUCCUACAAUCAUAUGGUUUUGCAUCAUCAGAAGAGCAUUCCUUAGCAGAUCUUUGAUUCUUUUUUCCAGCGAUGCAGUUUUCUUUGCCAUCUCCAGAUCUAGUAGCAGCGCAAACCGGGGCAUCCCCGGUGAAGUAAUUGAAAGAGUAUGUAAAGUUUUGCAACCUAGGAAGUUGGCAAAUGCUGGCUGGUAUAGUACCAGUGAGCUUGUUGUGAGCCACAUUGAGUUGUUCCACACUCCUCAUUCUGCUAACUGUUGACGGCAAUGGACCUUGAAUCUUGUUGAAGCUAACAUCAAACACUGUCAGCUUCUUCAACAUCCCAAUCUCCUGUGGCAAACACCCAGUAAGGUUGUCAUUCAUCAGUAUUAGCUCAUUCAAAGUGUUGGCCAUUUUCCCAAUGCUGGCUGGAAUGCAUCCUCCAAGAUUGUUGUUGGCAAACACGAGAACAGAAACAGGUGAGUUACCCAAGUUCUCAGGGAUGCCAAAGCGGAAUCUGUUGUCAUUAAGGAACAAUGCAUCCAAAUCUUUGUCGAAAAGCUUAGAAGGAACUGGUCCUUCAAAGUCAUUAAACCUUAGAUCCAAGAACUUCAAAGAAGGCAACGAAAGAACCACCUUAGGGAAUCCACCAACAAACCUAUUGUUGCUCAAAUCAAGCUCCCUAAGAAGCUUCAAAUGGCUAAAGGUUUUAGGUACGACCCCGCAAAAUCGAUUCGAGUUGAGAUGGAAAAGAACUAGAUCUGUAAGAAGACCUAGUUCAGGAACUAAAGAACCAGCAAUGUCAGCAUGGUUAAGAUCAAUGCCAGCGACAACUCUUAUAGAAUCAUCAGUUAAUGAUGGUGCACAAAAUCCCCCGCCAUAGGAACAAACAUUUGGUCCUGUCCAAUUAGCUGUGAAGUUAAAAGGAUCAGAAAGCAUAGCUGCUUUCCAAGAUUGCAACGCGAUGUAGGCAUCGCGAAGCUUUGGGUUUUCGAAACUCAACUUGCUAGCAUUGGCCUUAAUGUCAUCUAAAUCAAUAUCAUUGUCACCACCUUCUUGUCCUACAACAGAUGAGAUCUGGAAGGACAAAAGGGAAAUAACAACGAAAGAUAUUAACAUAAACCAGGCGCGGCGGCUAGGAGGCCGCAUUGCUGCUAUUUUGUUGAUAUGAACACGGUGGAAACUAAUUAUCAAGCUAAGAAGAAAUAAUGAAGUUUUUUUCUUGUAAGGUGAAUAGGUUUUUGUUGUGCUGUGUGCUACUUGUAAAGUUUGAGAAGAUGGCAAGUGAACGAAUGAAUAGAUUUGAAUUAAAUAGCAACUAGACACCUCUAUUUAUUCCUUCACAGCUCUUUGCCCCUUUGUGUUUUACUUUUCAUUUUCUCUUGUCAACUUUCCUAUUCUAUUUUCGUACUCGGGAGACACAUUAUAAUGACAUGCCAGCACGUCUUUAAUAAAAUCUUGGUUUAUAUUUGAAUAAUUGACAUAACAUUAAGAUUCUCUGUUUUUUUAAUUAUACAAUAAAAGAAAAAAUAUCCUUGAUUGCAAAUGACCUUCAAUUUGCCAACUAUACUACUCGUUUUUGAAAGGAAAAAAGGAACAUUGACGGUGCCAGAUUGGUGUGGAAGUACUCACAAGGGUUUUAGUAGUAUUUAAAUUUAAUUAUUUAGAAGGGCACCGAUUUCAAUGACUACGGCAGUUUAGUAGUUUGAAUUACAUUACUCCGUUCGUCUCAUUAUAUCAGUCUUAAAUUAGAAUGACACAACUAUUAAGAAAAUAAUAAUUGAUAAUAUAAUUUUAUUAUUUUGUUCCUCUUAAUUGUGUCUUGUUGUUAGUUUCAAUAUUGAUAGAUGGCUAAUAUCAAAGCAUCAUUUAUAUUCUUAAUGGUACUCCUCUUUGCAACAUUUUUCAAGAAUACUAAUAACAAGGAGUAAUCAAUUAUACUAAGGGAAUAAUGAAAAAAAAAAUUAUCUUAUCUUAAUAAGUAAAUUAGGAGAUCAAAUUAGAAAAUUUGAGACGGAGAGAGUAUAAAAUAAUGCAUUCAAGGGCGUGGCCUAUUUAUCGAUGAAGUGAAUUAAGAAAUUAA
RNAcentral lists this long non-coding RNA (3038 nucleotides) under Capsicum annuum. Its description in RNAcentral is "long non-coding RNA (CANN_LNC019492)". The record is from RNAcentral. Lineage: Eukaryota; Viridiplantae; Streptophyta; Magnoliopsida; Solanales; Solanaceae.